GACGAACGCUGGCGGCGUGCUUAACACAUGCCAGCCGAACGGAAAGGCCCCCUUGUGGGGUACUCGAGUGGCGAACGGGUGAGUAACACGUGAGUAACCUACCCUUGACUUUGGGAUAACUUCAGGAAACUGGGGCUAAUACCGGAUAGGAGCUCCUGCUGCAUGGUGGGGGUUGGAAAGUUUCGGCGGUUGGGGAUGGACUCGCGGCUUAUCAGCUUGUUGGUGGGGUAGUGGCUCACCAAGGCUUUGACGGGUAGCCGGCCUGAGAGGGUGACCGGCCACAUUGGGACUGAGAUACGGCCCAGACUCCUACGGGAGGCAGCAGUGGGGAAUAUUGCACAAUGGGCGGAAGCCUGAUGCAGCAACGCCGCGUGCGGGAUGACGGCCUUCGGGUUGUAAACCGCUUUCGCCUGUGACGAAGCGUGAGUGACGGUAAUGGGUAAAGAAGCACCGGCUAACUACGUG
RNAcentral lists this ribosomal RNA (465 nucleotides) under uncultured bacterium. RNAcentral's name for it is "partial 16S ribosomal RNA". It matches the Rfam family "Bacterial small subunit ribosomal RNA", at positions 28 to 507 of the family's 1533-position model. The record is from RNAcentral.